Molecule: ribosomal RNA, 483 nt
Filed under: uncultured Mesorhizobium sp.
Lineage: Bacteria; Pseudomonadati; Pseudomonadota; Alphaproteobacteria; Hyphomicrobiales; Phyllobacteriaceae
Description: bacterial SSU rRNA
Rfam family: Bacterial small subunit ribosomal RNA
Source: RNAcentral
UCACUACGGAACAACUCCGGGAAACUGGAGCUAAUACCGUAUACGUCCUUCGGGAGAAAGAUUUAUCGGUGAUGGAUGAGCCCGCGUUGGAUUAGCUAGUUGGUGGGGUAAUGGCCUACCAAGGCGACGAUCCAUAGCUGGUCUGAGAGGAUGAUCAGCCACACUGGGACUGAGACACGGCCCAGACUCCUACGGGAGGCAGCAGUGGGGAAUAUUGGACAAUGGGCGAAAGCCUGAUCCAGCCAUGCCGCGUGAGUGAUGAAGGCCCUAGGGUUGUAAAGCUCUUUCGCAGGUGAAGAUAAUGACGGUAACCUGAGAAGAAGCCCCGGCUAACUUCGUGCCAGCAGCCGCGGUAAUACGAAGGGGGCUAGCGUUGUUCGGAAUUACUGGGCGUAAAGCGCACGUAGGCGGACUAUUAAGUCAGGGGUGAAAUCCCGGGGCUCAACCCCGGAACUGCCUUUGAUACUGGUAGUCUCGAGUCCG